RNAcentral lists this ribosomal RNA (406 nucleotides) under uncultured bacterium. RNAcentral describes it as "partial 16S ribosomal RNA". It matches the Rfam family "Bacterial small subunit ribosomal RNA", at positions 29 to 526 of the family's 1533-position model. The record is from RNAcentral.
AUUGAACGCUGGCGGCAGGCCUAACACAUGCAAGUCGAACGAGUGGCGGACGGGUGAGUCAUGUCUGGGACACUGCCUGAUGGAGGGGGAUAACUACUGGAAACGGUAGCUAAUACCGCAUACCAUCGGAUGUGCCCAGAUGGGAUUGGCUAGUGGGGGGGGUAAAGGCUCACAUAGGCGACGACCCCUAGCUGGUCUGAGAGGAUGACGGGCAACACUGGAACUGAGACACGGUCCAGACUCCUACGGGAGGCAGCAGUGGGGAAUAUUGCAAAAGGGGCGCAAGCCUGAUGCAGCCAUGCCGCGUGGAUGAAGAAGGCCUUCGGGUGGUAAAGUACGUUCAGCGGGGAGGCGUUACCCGCAGAGGAAGCACCGGCUAACUCCGUGCCAGCAGCCGCGGUAAUUC